Molecule: ribosomal RNA, 119 nt
Organism: Nomascus leucogenys (northern white-cheeked gibbon)
Lineage: Eukaryota; Metazoa; Chordata; Mammalia; Primates; Hylobatidae
Source: Ensembl
GUCUAUGGCCAUGCCAUCCUGAACACGCCUGAUCUCAUCUGCUCUUGGAAGCUAAGCAGGGUCAAGCCUGGUUAGUACUUGGAUAGGAGACCACCUGGGAAUACCAGGUGCUGUCAGCU